CCUAGUUAAUCCUGCCUGUAGUCAUAUGCUUGCCUUAAAGAUUAAGCCAUCCAUGUACAAGUCUGAACUAAUUCAGACCUUGAAAUUGUGAAUUGCUUAUUAAAUCGGUUAUAGUUUGUUUGACGUUAUCUACUACUCGUGUAAUCAUAGUAAUUCUAAAGCUAAUACAUGCAACAAAUCUUGACUUCUAGAAAGGAUGCAUUUAUUAGAUAAAUGGUUGACAUGGGCUUUGCCUGUUGCUUUGAUGAUUAUGAUAACUCAAAAGAUUACAUGGCCUUUGUGCCAACGAUACAUCAUUCAAAUUUUUACCCUAUCGAAUUUUGAUGGUAGGAUAGUAGCCUGUUACGGUGGUGAUGUGUGAUGAAGAAUUAGGGUUUGAUUCCAAAGAGGGAGCUUGAAAAACGGCUACCACAUCCAAGAAAGGCAAAUUACCCAAUCUUGACAUAGGAAGGUAAUGACAAUAAAUAACAACACCAGGCUCAUAAAUGGAAUGAGAACAAUCUAAAUCCCUUAACGAGGAUCCAUUGGCAAUUGUGGUAAUUCUAGCUUUAAUAACAUAUAUUUAAGUUGUUGUAGUUAAAAAGCUCAUAGUUGGAACUAGGGUCGGAUCAUCUGGUCUACCUUAUGAUGAGCACUAUCCACUCAUCCUUACUACCGACAAUGUGCUCUUGGCCAGAACUAGCCAGGUCGUUCCUCUAGCGCUAUUACUUUGAAAAAAUUAGAGUGCCCAAAGUAGGCCUACACUUGUAUACAUUAGUAUGGGAUAACAUCAAAGGAUUUUAGUCCUAUUGUGCUGGCCUUCAAGAUCAGAGCAAUGAUUAACAGAGACAGUCAGGGGCAUUCAUAUUUCAUAAUCGAAGGUGAAAUUCUUGGAUUUAUGAAAGAUGAACAACUACGAAAGAAUUUGCCAAGUAUGUUUUCAUUAAUCAAGAAUAAAAGUUGAGGGCUCGAAACUCUGGGUCGCAUGCACACUACACUAAUGUAUUCAAUGAGUCUAUAGGCUUGGACAAUAGGCCUAAGUAAUCUGUGAAAUGUUAUUUUGAUGGGGAUAGAUCGUUGCAAUUGUUGGUCUUCAACAAGGAAUUCUUAGUAAGCACGUGUCAUCAGCUCACCUUGACUAUGUUCUUGACCUUUUCACACAUUGCCCAUCACUCUUACUGAUUGAAUGGUCAGGCAAAGUGUUUGGAUUAUAGCGACAUAGACAGUUUGUUGCCUAUGACAUCACGAGAAGUCAAUUAAACCUUAUCAUUUAGAGGAAGGAGAGUUGUAACAAGGCUUCCGUAGGUGAACCUACGAAAGCAACAUUG
RNAcentral lists this ribosomal RNA (1307 nucleotides) under Durio zibethinus. RNAcentral describes it as "SSU rRNA". It matches the Rfam family "Eukaryotic small subunit ribosomal RNA". The record is from RNAcentral. Lineage: Eukaryota; Viridiplantae; Streptophyta; Magnoliopsida; Malvales; Malvaceae.